RNAcentral lists this long non-coding RNA (1367 nucleotides) under Capra hircus (goat). Its description in RNAcentral is "lncRNA (ENSCHIG00010013917.1)". Lineage: Eukaryota; Metazoa; Chordata; Mammalia; Artiodactyla; Bovidae. The record is from RNAcentral.
GCUUCCUAAGGCCCACUUGACUUCUCAUUCCAGGAUGUUUGGCUCUAGGUUGGUGGUCACACCAUUGUGAUUAUCUGAGUCAGAUUUUUCAGUAACUUUUCAUGGAAAAUUCAAAUGAACUUUAUGAUCAAUCCAAUAUAUACAUGCAUAUAUAUGUGUGUGUGUAUAAAUACAUGUAUGUCAGAAACAGUUAUAAUUAAAAAAAAUAAAGGACAAAAAGGUGGUCAAGGCUCCUAUAAUUUCAAUAUACCUUGCUACUUUCAGAGAGGCAGCAGUUUUGAAAUUAAGCAUCACUAGGUAAGGUAAAUAGAGAACUAAUUAGUAAUUCACUUCUUUAACCAGAUCUGUAUCUAUCAAUCUAUCUUCCUUUCAUUCUAAGUUUACCUUCUCCCAUUAUUGGACCACCAAUUUAUUUGUAACCCAGUGAAAAAUAGGUAUAGCAACCUGGGAUUUCAAUUUCCAAGCUUUUCUUUGAUCAACAGAAGAAAUGACAAAAUAUAAACUCCACACUACAGAUAUUUUGCAAAUAAUCUCAUUUUCUUUUCCAAGUACUGAGACUACCUUAAAAGAAUGUUGUCUUCUAAAUUCAAGAAUGGCUAAUAGCAAUGAGGAAAGUUAAUUUAGAUCCUAAUUGACUUUACCAGUGACUGCUGUAAACUGUGGGUGAUGUCAACUUUUAGAUAAAUAAAAGAUAAAAUUUAAUGAUUAAAGAAUAACUUUUUAUUCCCAUUAUCUAAGGAACAGACAACUUUCCAAGCGAAAGACUAGCCAGGGAAACAGAGGAGAAAACGGUUUCAGUAAACCGAGAGGAAAUAAAGGAGAGCAUGCCUGAUUAGGAAGAACUGACUGGUACAGAGCACACAUUCUCAGAGUGUUAAUAUUCACCACAGAUUAUCAACAUCACAAAGAUUUAUUAUGACAUCUGGAUAUACUGUGCCUAUUAUUUAAUGAACCUCAUGGAAAACUCACAAAUUAGGUAAGAAAAGGCUUAAAGCCAAAGUUCACUCAAGAAGUUAAAAUGAAAACAAAAAUAAUGAUUACCUCAAUUCUAUUCCUUUGCUUUGAUGACAUUUCAAAAUAAAAACUAUUACUUCUUCAGAAGUUACAUUUGAUUAAGCAAAGGACAUCUUGAACUUUUAUCCUAAUUUUAGUGAGGGGAAAAUGAUCAUUAGUCUUAUGUCACUUUAAUCUUAUGAACUAGAAAUAGCUAGAAAACAGAACACUACUCUGUACAUAUAUACUUUACAAUAAUGGAUGCAAUACCUGGGAAACAAAUAAUUAAAAACUGCAGAAUUUACACUUAAUCUUGCUGUAUACCAGUUCAGUUCAGUUCAGUCGUGUCCCACUCUUUGCGACCCCAUGAAUUG